CGGGGUGCAGCAGGCGCGAAAACUUUACAAUGCGGGAAACCGUGAUAAGGGAACUCCGAGUGCCCGUAAAAUCGGGCUGUCCAUCUGUUUAAAUAACAGGUGAAGAAAGGGCCGGGCAAGACCGGUGCCAGCCGCCGCGGUAAUACCGGCGGCUCGAGUGGUGGCCACUAUUACUGGGCUUAAAGCGUUCGUAGCUGGUCUGUUAAGUCUCUGGGGAAAUCUACUGGCUUAACCAAUAGGCGUUUCAGGGAUACUGGCAGACUAGGGACCGGGAGAGGUGAGGGGUACUCCAGGGGUAGGAGUGAAAUCCUGUAAUCCUUGGGGGACCACCUGUGGCGAAGGCGCCUCACCAGAACGGCUCCGACAGUGAGGGACGAAAGCUGGGGGAGCAAACCGGAUUAGAUACCCGGGUAGUCCCAGCCGUAAACGAUGCGCGUUAGGUGUAUCGGUGACCACGAGUCACCGAGGUGCCGAAGAGAAAUCGUGAAACGUGCCGCCUGGGAAGUACGGUCGCAAGGCUGAAACUUAAAGGAAUCGGCGGGCGAGCACAAGGGCGAAU
This 559-nucleotide ribosomal RNA is filed under the name uncultured archaeon. RNAcentral describes it as "bacterial SSU rRNA". It matches the Rfam family "Archaeal small subunit ribosomal RNA", at positions 326 to 889 of the family's 1478-position model. The record is from RNAcentral.